Molecule: transfer RNA, 73 nt
Filed under: Danionella translucida
Lineage: Eukaryota; Metazoa; Chordata; Actinopteri; Cypriniformes; Danionidae
Also listed under: 1 other name
Rfam family: tRNA
About the family: Transfer RNA (tRNA) molecules are approximately 80 nucleotides in length. Their secondary structure includes four short double-helical elements and three loops (D, anti-codon, and T loops). Further hydrogen bonds mediate the characteristic L-shaped molecular structure. tRNAs have two regions of fundamental functional importance: the anti-codon, which is responsible for specific mRNA codon recognition, and the 3' end, to which the tRNAs corresponding amino acid is attached (by aminoacyl-tRNA synthetases). tRNAs cope with the degeneracy of the genetic code in two manners: having more than one tRNA (with a specific anti-codon) for a particular amino acid; and 'wobble' base-pairing, i.e. permitting non-standard base-pairing at the 3rd anti-codon position.
Source: Rfam by way of RNAcentral
GCCUGGCUAGCUCAGUCGGUAGAGCAUGUGACUCUUAAUCUCAGGGUCGUUGGUUCGAGCCCCACGUUGGGCA